GGCCGGUUGGCGCAAUGGUAGCGCGUCAGAUUCCAGUCUUGGAACUUCCUGAAGGUUAUCCGUUCGAUCCGGGUAUCGGUCA
Molecule: non-coding RNA, 82 nt
Organism: Xylariaceae sp. FL1651
Lineage: Eukaryota; Fungi; Ascomycota; Sordariomycetes; Xylariales; Xylariaceae
Source: the annotation of a GenBank genome assembly